ACUUUGUGCAUUGCAAUCAUAUCACUACAAAUACACAGGCAAAUGAAAAUGAAAGGUAUAGAAGACGAAAAAGAAAAGAAAUACAUGUCAAACUCCGAAACAGAAUGCCUUCGCGCCGCCAGAGUAAACUCAGGUUGUUCAAGUGCCACACCGAGCUGUCAAGAGAGGAAUUUGGCAGUUCAGGCCAUCCACGAUUUCCGGACUCACAGACUUGCAUACUGAGAAUCACCGAUGCACUUUGUGACGGCCUCACCGGCCUUCUGCGUUCCAACUCGCUCCUCUCUCUUCUUCUUUUCCCUUUCCACGUACUCCUUGAGAAGUUCUUUGGCUUGGACCAGCUUCGAGAGUUGGUUACGGUACACAUCGAGGUCCCUAUCCACACUUAGUUUGUUUAUGUUCAACUCAGCACAAAGCUUUUCUAAAAUUGCUGGUUCCAUUGCAUUUGCCAGCUCAAGCAGACGAAACAAUCCAAUAGCAAAGAACCGACUGUAGCUGAAAUUUUUCUUUUCCUUGGCACGCUCAGAAAUAUUUUUCAAUAUGUCCUCAACCUCCCCCUCUCUUGAUGAGAACCCUAGUAAUGAGCUAGCGUUUUGAGCCCGGGCCCAUUCUUCCAGCUUUUGUGCAUCGCUUCUGUACUGUUCAGGGUCCUCAUUUAAUGCCUGGAUAUAAGCUUUGAAAAUGGCAUCACGGUCAUCGUUGCUUGGAUAGCCUUCCAUCAGCUGUUCAUAGACAGUCACAAAGCCUAGAGCAAACACUGCAUCAUACUGAUAAGUUUUCUUGUACCUCAUCAGAUGUUGUUGCACAAGGAGCUCUAGCAAUACAGUGUUGUAUAUGCUCGGAAUAAGACGCUUGUAUGACUUGACAAACUUCAACUUGGUUUCAGACACAGUGGGGGGCAAAGCGACUGAAGCAGCGGCGCAUCGGACGGCGGAUCGGGAGCUCGAAUUGGGGGCUCUGAAUCGGAUCCCGCCGAACACCGGUGAGCUUAAGGAUCGCGCGGCGGUGGGCAAGGGCUGGCCUAAGGAGGCGAAGGAGACGGAUGCGAUGGCCGCCAUUAGAGUUGAGAUGAGAGCUCCACUAGGGAUUGGAGCGAAGACGGGCCGG
This 1104-nucleotide unclassified non-coding RNA is filed under the name Hevea brasiliensis (rubber tree). Lineage: Eukaryota; Viridiplantae; Streptophyta; Magnoliopsida; Malpighiales; Euphorbiaceae. The record is from RNAcentral.